GACGAACGCUGGCGGCGUGCUUAACACAUGCAAGUCGAACGGUGAAGCGCCUUCCUUUUUGGUGGGUGUGGAUGAGAGGCGAACGGGUGAGCAACACGUGAGUAACCUGCCCCCUUCUUCUGGAUAACCGCAUGAAAGCGUGGCUAAUACGGGAUAUCCUGGGUCUGUCGCAUGAUGGGUCUGGGAAAGAUAUUGGUUCGGUGGGGGAUGCGCUCGCGGCCUAUCAGCUUGUUGGUGGGGUGAGGGCCUACCACGGCGGUGACGUGUAGCCGGCCUGAGAGGGUGGACGGUCACACUGGGAGUGAGACACGGCUCAGACUCCUACGGGAGGCAGCAGUGUGGAAGAGUGCGCAAUGCUCGCAAGCCUGAUGCGGCGACGCCGCGUGAGGAGUGGAGGCCUGCGGGUUGUGAACCUCUUUCGCCAGUGAAGCAGGCCUGCCUGGUUUGUGGGUGGGUUGACGGUAGCUGGAUAAGAAGCGCCGGCUAACUACGUG
Molecule: ribosomal RNA, 494 nt
Filed under: uncultured bacterium
Lineage: Bacteria
Description: partial 16S ribosomal RNA
Rfam family: Bacterial small subunit ribosomal RNA
Source: RNAcentral